UCCAUAGGUCGCCUUAUCGCUGCUGCCGUAUGGCAGGAGAGGAAAGUCCGGGCAACGUAGAGCAUCGUACUUCCUAACGGGAAGUCUUAGAUGAAAAUCUGGGAAGAAAGUGCAACAGAGAGUAUACCGCCUUGAGCUAAGCUGUCGUCAGGCAGACUAGUCGAAGGGUAAGGGUGAAAGGGUGAGGUAAGAGCUCACCGGUUCUGCAGUGAUGCAGAUCGCAUGGUAAACCUUACGAGUUGAAAGAUCAAAUAGGUCCUGUCAGGAGCUGCUCGCUCCACUCUCUUCGGAGAAAACAGGAUGGGUAGAUUGAUAGAUUUUGGCAGUAAUGUCAAGGCUAGAUAAAUGAUAAGGGUCUCGAUUCGUCGAGAUACAGAACCCGGCUUAUAGACCUAUUAUUAAC
Non-coding RNA from Reichenbachiella agariperforans, 403 nucleotides. The record is from Rfam. NCBI's taxonomy places the organism in Bacteria, Pseudomonadati, Bacteroidota, Cytophagia, Cytophagales, Reichenbachiellaceae.